This 2108-nucleotide long non-coding RNA is filed under the name Ananas comosus (pineapple). RNAcentral describes it as "long non-coding RNA (ACOM_LNC039417)". Lineage: Eukaryota; Viridiplantae; Streptophyta; Magnoliopsida; Poales; Bromeliaceae. The record is from RNAcentral.
GAAGUGGACAUAUGUAUCUAGCUGGCAUAUAGGGGAGUGGUUUAGCACUACCGAUUUUCUGGGAUGUGGUAUAACUGUUCCAUUUUAAGUUAUAACCGCACAACCCAAGGCUACCAUAUAGAAGUAGAUAGAUAAAAGUGGCAGGUAUAUGGGUGUACUUUUUAACUUUACAGAUGUUCCGAGGAGUGGUAUAACUGUUCUAUUUUAAGCUAUAACAGCACAAGUAAAGGGUACCAUAUAGAAGUGGACAUAUAGAUGUGGGAGGUAUUUGAGUGUGCUCUUUCGCCCUACAGAUGUUUCGGGGUGUGGUAUAACUGUUCCAUUUUAAGCUGUAACCGCAAAACCCAAGGCUACCAUAUAGUAGAUAGAUAGAAGUGGCAGGUAUAUGGGUAUACUCUUUAACACUACAAAUGUUCCGAGGAGUGGUAUAACUGUUCUAUUUUAAGCUAUAACAGCACAAGAGUCGGGUACCAUAUAGAAGUGGACAUAUAGAUGUGGGAGGUAUUUGAGUGUGCUUUUUAGCCCUACAGAUGUUUCGGGGUGUGGUAUAACUGUUCCAUUUUAAGCUGUAACCGCACAACCCAAGGCUACCAUAUGGAAGUAGAUAGAUAGAAGUGGCAGGUAUAUGGGUAUACUCUUUAACACUACAGAUAUUCGGAGGAGUGGUAUAACUGUUCUAUUUUAAGCUAUAACAGCACAAGUAAAGGGUACCAUAUAGAAGUGGAUAUAUAAAAGUGGCAGGUAUAUGGGUGUACUCUUUAACACUACAGAUGUUCCGAGGAGUGAUAUAACUGUUCUAUUUUAAGCUAUAACAGCACAAGUAAAGGGCACCAUAUAGAAGUGGACAUAUAAAUAUGGCAGGUAUUUGGGUGUGCUCUUUAGCCCUACAGAUGUUCCGGGGUGUGGUAUAACUGUUCCAUUUUAAGUUAUAACCACACAACCCAAGACUACCAUAUAGAAGUAGAUAGAUAAAAGUGGCAGGUAUAUGGGUGUACUCUUUAACACUACAGAUGUUCCGAGGAGUGGUAUAACUGUUCUAUUUUAAGCUAUAACAGCACAAGUAAGGGUACCAUAUAGAAGUGGACAUAUAGAUGUGGGAGGUAUUUGAGUGUGCUUUUUAGCCCUACAGAUGUUUCGGGGUGUGGUAUAACUAUUCCAUUUUAAGCUGUAACCGCACAACCCAAGGCUACCAUAUAGAAGUAGAUAGAUAGAAGUGGCAGGUAUAUGGGUAUACUCUUUAACACUACAGAUGUUCGGAGGAGUGGUAUAACUGUUCUAUUUUAAGCUAUAACAGCACAAGUAAAGGAUACCAUAUAGAAGUGGACAUAUAGAUGUGGCAGGUAUUUAAGUGUGCUCUUUAGCCCUAUAGAUGUUUCGUGGGGUGGUAUAACUGUUCUAUUUUAAGCUACAACUGAAAAAAUAAAGCCUACCACAGAAAAUAUUAUAUAGAUGUGAAAGGUCUAUGGGACUGCUCUUUUUUUACAUAUAAAUGUACCGCAGAGUGGUAUAACAGUUCUAUUUGGAACUAUAACCGCACAUUACAUAUAGAAGUGGAUUAACAUUAGAACAAAAUUUUUCUUUACGCCAUAGGUUGUAAUACAAUAUUAAAAUAAAACGUAGAAUUUAAAACAACAAAACCAUAUGGCAUCAGGACCAUUGAUAUAAUAUAAAGUCUACCACAAAAUACUACAACAGGUUAUAUUUGUACAACACAACGACUAACAUAACAACACUAUAUAAAAAUUAUUACAGCUUGCAUGAUACAGGGUGGUCAUGUACCCUUGCCACACAAGUUAUAGCAGGAUGACCACAUUAUCCCACUGACUAUCCCAUACAUGACAAAAACAGCCCAUUUCCAUCUUUUUCUUUUUGCUGCAACUGCGGCUUCUUCCCGCAACUUAUUAUUGCUUUCUAGUAAACCAUUAACCACUGAGAUACUCCGGCUCGUAAAUUGUGGGUCGUACCACCCAAAAUAAUUACAUGCGUUACUUCCCUGCAUCUGAAAGAUAAUAUAAAUUACACAUCAAAUAAUGUCAAUAUAUGAAUCAACAAGUUUAUAGUAGCCAGCUUUACCCUAUAUCUUGAACAGCCAUAAAAUCUCCGACCCG